This 253-nucleotide ribosomal RNA is filed under the name uncultured bacterium. RNAcentral's name for it is "partial 16S ribosomal RNA". It matches the Rfam family "Bacterial small subunit ribosomal RNA", at positions 524 to 776 of the family's 1533-position model. The record is from RNAcentral.
UACGUAGGGUGCAAGCGUUGUCCGGAAUUAUUGGGCGUAAAGAGCUCGUAGGCGGUCUGUUGCGUCGGCUGUGAAAACCCGGGGCUCAACCCCGGGCCUGCAGCCGAUACGGGCAGACUAGAGUUCGGCAGGGGAGACUGGAAUUCCUGGUGUAGCGGUGAAAUGCGCAGAUAUCAGGAGGAACACCGGUGGCGAAGGCGGGUCUCUGGGUCGAUACUGACGCUGAGGAGCGAAAGCGUGGGGAGCGAACAGG